Molecule: ribosomal RNA, 253 nt
Filed under: uncultured bacterium
Lineage: Bacteria
Also listed under: 1 other name
Description: partial 16S ribosomal RNA
Rfam family: Bacterial small subunit ribosomal RNA
Source: RNAcentral
GACGUAGGAUGCAAGCGUUGUCCGGAUUUAUUGGGCGUAAAGAGUUCGUAGGCGGUUCGUUAAGUCUGAUGUUAAAGAUCGGGGCCCAACCCUGAGAGUGCAUUGGAUACUGGCGAACUGGAGUGCAGUAGAGGCGAGUGGAAUUCCCAGUGUAGCGGUGAAAUGCGUAGAUAUUGGGAAGAACACCGGUGGCGUAGGCGACUCGCUGGGCUGUAACUGACGCUGAGGAACGAAAGCCAGGGGAGCGAAUGGG